GCAUGCUUUUACAGUAUGGAAAUUGGUGAUUUAUAAUAACUUGGCAAAUCGCAAAGUGAAAACAGGCGAUAAAUCAUUCAAGUUUCUGACCUAUCAGCUUUCGACGGUAUGGUAUUGGCUUACCGUGGCAGUGACGGUUAACGGGGGAUUAGGGUUCGAUUCCGGAGAGGGAGCCUGAGAAACGGCUACCACAUCUAAGGAAGGCAGCAGGCGCGCAAAUUACCCAAUUCUAACAGUUUGAGAGAGGUAGUAACAAGAAAUAACAAUACAAGGCAAUUAAAAUGCUUUGUAAUUGGAAUGAUAGAAAUUUAAACCCUUUUUAAAGUAUCAAUUGGAGGGCAAGUCUGGUGCCAGCAGCCGCGGUAAUUCCAGCUCCAAUAGCGUAUAUUAAAAUUGUUGCAGUUAAAAAGCUCGUAGUUGAAGUUCUGCUAAAAGUAACCGGUCUGCUUUUAAUAAAAGUGGUAUCUUGGUGUGUAUUUAGCAAUGAUGUCCUUUGAAGUGUUUUUUACUUUAUUGUAAUAAAGCAUAUUCAGGACUUUUACUUUGAGAAAAUUAGAGUGUUUCUAGCAGGCCGACGCUUUGAAUACUGCAGC
Molecule: ribosomal RNA, 593 nt
Filed under: Hepatozoon canis
Lineage: Eukaryota; Apicomplexa; Hepatozoidae
Description: bacterial SSU rRNA
Rfam family: Eukaryotic small subunit ribosomal RNA
Source: RNAcentral